GACGAACGCUGGCGGCGUGCUUAACACAUGCAAGUCGAGCGGUAAGGCCCUUUCGGGGGUACACGAGCGGCGAACGGGUGAGUAACACGUGGGUGACCUGCCUUUAGCUCUGGGAUAAGCCUGGGAAACUGGGUCUAAUACCGGAUAUGACUCCGCGGUGCAUGCUGUGGGGUGGAAAGCCUUGUGCGGCUGAGGAUGGGCCCGCGGCCUAUCAGCUUGUUGGUGGGGUGAUGGCCUACCAAGGCGACGACGGGUAGCCGGCCUGAGAGGGCGACCGGCCACACUGGGACUGAGACACGGCCCAGACUCCUACGGGAGGCAGCAGUGGGGAAUCUUGCGCAAUGGGCGAAAGCCUGACGCAGCGACGCCGCGUGAGGGAUGACGGCCU
Molecule: ribosomal RNA, 388 nt
Filed under: uncultured bacterium
Lineage: Bacteria
Description: bacterial SSU rRNA
Rfam family: Bacterial small subunit ribosomal RNA
Source: RNAcentral